AUGGACACGUUCAUGGGCGCGGCGCGGGCCUUGCUCACUCGGGUGCCUCCCGCCGAGGGAGUGUGCGAGAGUGGUGCCCUCAAGGUGCUCGUCCUGAGCUUCUACACGUCUUCCCCUCACCUGAGCUCCAUAGGCUGCCUCAUCGAGGACAUUGUGAGCUUGGGCCAGACCCAAUGCCUUGAGUUUUGUAUAUCCCCGCCGGGCACUGACCCGCUGGGCAUCAGCAUUGAGAUUGGGCAGGAGUUCAUGGCGUUCUCCCGUGCCUACCCAGUUGCCUUCUCGUGGCUCACGACGCUUACGCUCGAAUAUCAUGCCUUUGGACAUUCAGACAUCACUGACCUCAUUAGCACUUGCAGUAGGCUCAGGCACCUCAGCUUGAGAUUCUGCAGACUGCUUGAUCUGCACUCCACGCUCAAGAUCGAUGUGCCGUGCUCUGAGCUCCAGGAGCUUGAGUUCAUCGACCUUUUGUGCACAUGGAUCGAGCUCGUCUCUGUCCCCAAGCUUAGACAAGUGGAGUGCAAAUGUUGGCUCUUCAAUAACCCUCCAGUGCGCUUUGGCUACGUUCCUGAGCUUCGCGGUUUAGUACUCGCUUCUAAAGCCAAGGCAUGGCAAGAGCCAUUCGCGCUCAGCGAAUGCCUGUCAACGAGUGUUGGUGCCAGGAACCUGUCAACACUGACUCUGUGUUUUGGGUACCAAAUGAAUUGGAUUCAGCUAGAACCUCCGAAGCAGCUCAUUGCUAUAUUCAGAAACCUGACCUCUGUGCGUCUUUUUGGUAUCUUCAGUGAGUGUGAUCUGACCUGGACACUGUUUAUCCUUGAAGCUGCACCUGCCCUACAUGAUUUAGCAUUAUCUCGACCUUCAUGUGCCAAGCCGCACAAGAACAGUGCCGAGAAGACCAACGUGGUGUGGGAGCCAUCCAAGGAUUUGAAGCACCUGAACUUGGAGGUGCUGCAGAUCUUCGGGUGUGAGGAUGAAGACAAGGUGACAAACUAUAUGAGGCUCGUCAUGGAAAGAGCUGUGGGGUUGUUGAAAAUCCAGUUGUAUGGUGAAAGCCCAUGCACAUACUGUGAUGCCACCAGCCUUGAAAGAUCCCAGGCGGAAAAAGCUAGCAGGCAUCGGAUUAAGGAGCAACUCACACAUGGAUCAUCCUCAUCUGUGGAGAUAAUUAUCUGUUGA
This 1176-nucleotide ribosomal RNA is filed under the name Triticum aestivum (bread wheat). Its description in RNAcentral is "partial small subunit ribosomal RNA". The record is from RNAcentral. Lineage: Eukaryota; Viridiplantae; Streptophyta; Magnoliopsida; Poales; Poaceae.